GCGCUUGGUGACGAGAUGGCGGCUAGCACCGGGCGACCUGUUGAAGAAGAAGAGAUGAUCAUGCACGCCCCGAACCAAUGACCGUGGGAGAACUAUACUCUCAGGUUGUUAAUUUCGAGG
RNAcentral lists this small nucleolar RNA (120 nucleotides) under Oryza sativa Indica Group (long-grained rice). RNAcentral describes it as "Small nucleolar RNA Z247". The record is from RNAcentral. Lineage: Eukaryota; Viridiplantae; Streptophyta; Magnoliopsida; Poales; Poaceae.